RNAcentral lists this ribosomal RNA (325 nucleotides) under uncultured bacterium. RNAcentral's name for it is "bacterial SSU rRNA". It matches the Rfam family "Bacterial small subunit ribosomal RNA", at positions 28 to 336 of the family's 1533-position model. The record is from RNAcentral.
GAUGAACGCUGGCGGCGUGCCUAACACAUGCAAGUCGAGCGGAGUUUAUUAAGGAAGUCUUAGGACGGAAAGAAUAAACUUAGCGGCGGACGGGUGAGUAACACGUGGGUAACCUACCCAUCAGCGGGGGAUAACACUUGGAAACAGGUGCUAAUACCGCAUAAUUCUUUUCUUCGCCUGAAGGGAAGAUGAAAGACGCUUUUGCGUCACUGAUGGAUGGACCCGCGCUGCAUUAGCUAGUUGGUGGGUAACGCUCACCAAGGCCACGAUGCAUAGCCGACCUGAGAGGGUAUCGGCCACAUUGGGACUGAGACACGGCCCAAAC